This 512-nucleotide long non-coding RNA is filed under the name Homo sapiens (human). RNAcentral's name for it is "non-protein coding LINC00707:2". The record is from RNAcentral. Lineage: Eukaryota; Metazoa; Chordata; Mammalia; Primates; Hominidae.
UGGGCACCCAGCUGCCAGCUCAGCUGCCAGUGUGGCUAAAAUAAAGCAGGCAGAGGAACGUGGAAGGACUAGACUGCCUGAGUCUUCUGACCUUCAUCUUUCCCCUGUGUUGGAUGCCUCCUGCCCUCAAACAUCAGACUCCAGGUUCUUCAGCUUUUGGACUCUUGGACCUACCCCCCGAGUGGUUUGCCAGGGGCUCUCAGGCCUUCGGCUACAGACUGAGGGCUGCAUUAUCAGCUUUCCUACUUUUGAGGUUUUGGGACUUUACUGGCUUUCUUGCUCCUCAACUUGCAGAUGGCCUGUUGUGGGACCUCACCUUGUGAUCAUGUACAUGAGGGAAAUACACACCCCUCCCAGGGAUGAUGGAAGGUUAAGGUCCUAACACCUCCUGCACAUCUGAGCAGCUGCACAUUGAACCAGAUAGUCCUGGAAUGUGGGAAAACAGAGGCAGACUCAAGAGUCUGGAACAUUAUUUUAGGAUCACACAAAAAAGAUACAUAAUUUUCAUAGGU